Molecule: ribosomal RNA, 253 nt
Filed under: uncultured bacterium
Lineage: Bacteria
Description: partial 16S ribosomal RNA
Rfam family: Bacterial small subunit ribosomal RNA
Source: RNAcentral
UACGUAGGGUGCAAACGUUAAUCGGAAUUACUGGGCGUAAAGCGUGCGCAGGCGGCUUUGCAAGACAGAUGUGAAAUCCCCGGGCUUAACCUGGGAACUGCAUUUGUGACUGCAUGGCUGGAGUGCGGCAGAGGGGGAUGGAAUUCCGCGUGUAGCAGUGAAAUGCGUAGAUAUGCGGAGGAACACCGAUGGCGAAGGCAAUCCCCUGGGCCUGCACUGACGCUCAUGCACGAAAGCGUGGGGAGCAAACAGG